RNAcentral lists this ribosomal RNA (447 nucleotides) under uncultured bacterium. RNAcentral's name for it is "bacterial SSU rRNA". It matches the Rfam family "Bacterial small subunit ribosomal RNA", at positions 355 to 825 of the family's 1533-position model. The record is from RNAcentral.
UGGGGAAUAUUGGACAAUGGGCGAAAGCCUGAUCCAGCCAUGCCGCGUGAGUGACGAAGGCCUUAGGGUUGUAAAACUCUUUCGUCGGGGACGAUAAUGACGGUACCCGAAGAAGAAGCUCCGGCUAACUUCGUGCCAGCAGCCGCGGUAAUACGAAGGGAGCUAGCGUUGUUCGGAAUCACUGGGCGUAAAGCGCACGUAGGCGGAUAGUUAAGUCAGGGGUGAAAUCCUGGGGCUCAACCCCAGAACUGCCUUUGAUACUGGCUGUCUCGAGGUCGAGAGAGGUUGGUGGAAUUCCUAGUGUAGAGGUGAAAUUCGUAGAUAUUGGGUGGAACACCUGUGGCGAAGGCGGCCCUCUGGACGAUAACUGACGCUGAGACGCGAAAGCAUGGGGAGCAAACAGGAUUAGAUACCCAAGUAGUCCCUGAGCGGGCUGGCAAGGCGCAU